This 4255-nucleotide unclassified non-coding RNA is filed under the name Acanthaster planci (crown-of-thorns starfish). Its description in RNAcentral is "uncharacterized LOC110988457, transcript variant X3". Lineage: Eukaryota; Metazoa; Echinodermata; Asteroidea; Valvatida; Acanthasteridae. The record is from RNAcentral.
UGCUUUUGUGGGGUGGGUUCAUAAAAGCCAAUCGGUACAUAAGCAAUAUAGACGUCUUUUCCAUGGGGAGAAAGACUCGCCCAGACCUCUUCUGAGGUAGAUUGAAGUGACAAUCACAGCCGAGGACAUGUGGUCGAGGAGUGGAAAAAGCGAUCCUGAAACAGUCCUAGCACCAAUUUCAGACUUCAACAGAAGCAUCCAUCUGACUACUUUGUUAAAGGACAAAUCCUUGAGAGAAUCUUAUGCAACCGCCCAGACGGACGGUCAGCUACCUGCCAACCGAGCGCGAGUCCUGAUCCUCGGCGAACCUCGUGCCGGCAAGACCAGCUUACUAAACCGGCUCCUGGACAGAGAGUUUGACGUUCGGGAACAGCCGACCGAGGGGAUUGACACGCGCAUGUGUCAAGUGACUAACGUGGACAAGCAGUGGAAAGAGACAGGUGGUGCCAAGUCAGACGAUAUACAACACUGUGCCUCCUUGGUGACCGUGCUUGGAGAGGUUUCGUCGGCUUAUGGAACAACAGAAUCGAAAGAAGUGGGAGGAAAUAACAAGGACACCCCCACAAAACCACGCACACAACUUGACUUAUUAAAACUAGGAUUGGAACUGUUUUGCUUGUUCCUUGUUGUGUUUGUAUUUGAGGUAUUCCAGUAUGGUUACGUGGCAUUUGUGUGGUGUACUUUCGUUGCACUUUCAUUGAUGAACAACUACAACUUUGCCUAUCGGUUUGCAACAUACGUCUCCUUGUUUUGUGUUCUCUUUGACGCAGUGCUUCGACGUGAGAGAUUGUUGGAAGAAUCGAGCGGUGAGGAGUGUGCAGACGAUCUUCAAAACCGGACAAUUUGGCCUGCUCUUGGGAACAUGAUGUUCGACUCGGUUAAUUACGUUAUACUGGGUGCAGCCACCGGUUUCGGUUGCCGUACGGGCGUCGCAGUUGCUUUCUCAGCGAGUGUUCAUCCUGCAGAGACUGAGGCUACAAGGGGAGUCGAAGGUGGGAAAUGGGACAGGUUGGUGCUGACUUUGAUAUCAGGUGCAGGAGCACUCCUGGGUGUUGGGUUCUAUAUAUUUUGUACAUUCAGUGACCGGUGGCAUAAGUAUAGAGCUGCCCUUUGCUGUGGUUUGUUGGCGUUAAUUCUGGCACUAAGCUCUGAAGGAGAUUGCAGACACAGACGCUUUUGGUUCCUCUUUCUGAAUGGUAUCGUGGUAUCAGCUCAAUCAACAUGGGGAACUAUUCUCGGCCGGAGGGUUUCCCAUAAGUAUGGACUCAGAGCCAGUUACGUGUCAAAGAAAGUUGCAGGUCUCAUCUUCGGCCUAUACCUGUCAUACGUCUGUGGUUGGACGAUGCGAAUACCUGGCCGUAGUUUGUCGUGCGUGGCACUCUACAUACUUUCUGUCCUCUCGCUACCCUUGUUUGAUCUUCACAACACCUUCAAGAUCUGGCGAGCAAAGUCAACCUUCCCCGUGAAGCUUAUCCGUGAGCAGAUGAAAUCUGUCCUUCAAGGAAAGCCGGUCUUAGAAACCAAACUGAGUCUGUGGGACUUUGCUGGGGACACACUGUACCACUGUACGCAUCACAUCUUCAUGCCUGACAGAGCUCUGUAUGUGAUCGUCUUCAACCUCCAGGCCGCUGUUUCUGACGAGGAAGGACAGCUACAGAAACUUCUCUUUUGGUUACAUUCAGUCUGUGCGCAUGCGCGUCACCCAGACGCUGUUGUCAUCAUUGUCGGCACCCACAAAGAGAGCGUUUCUGAGGCAAGCAGGACGCGUAUCACUAAUGAACUUCACCGUAGAAUUGCUUCUCCAUUUUGCCACCGACUUGUUGUGAACUCACUGAACGACAAACCGUUGUUCCUUGUAGAGAAUUCGCAACCUGUUGACGAAGAUUUCAAGCAGUUACGAGGCGAAAUUUUCAGACGAGUUGAGAGUGCCGAGUACGCCCAGGAAAAAUAUCCCAUUAAGUACCUGCACUUUUAUCGCGAGAUUCAGAAACACCGAAAACGGGCAGAGAAGGAUUGUGCAGCUAACGUGGUGACCGUGGACCAAAUAGGAGACCUUGCCAUGAAUACCUGCGAUAUUACGAAAGACGACGACUUGGAGAGUAUGCUGAAAUUUUUCUGCGAAGCUGGAGAAAUCAUCCACAAAAAUAACGACAACGUCUUGCAUGAUUAUGUUGUCUUGGAUCCUCAGUUCCUAGUUGAUGUCAUGAAGAAACUUGUACACAUUCCACGUGCUUCUAGAAGAUCGCAUCGCUUUGCUGUUGAUUGGAUAAAUUAUGAAAACAGUGGAAUCAUCACUGAAGGUCUCCUGCAACAUAUUUACGGCGACAUGUGCCAUCUUGUGCCACUCCUGACCAAGCUUCUUCAGGCCUAUGACCUCAUGUGUCCCGUGACGCCUGAUUUAAAUCCUGACAGCUCGCAGAAGUCCUUUUUAGUACCAGCUAUGCUGCCUCCUUAUCGGGGUGAGCCGACAGAGUUCUGGAAGCCAACGAAAAAAGAUGAGGUCUUUUAUUUUGAUUUUGGCUUCUUUGAUCCCAGCACUGUCUACUACCGUUUGCUGACCCGCUGUGUGGUGAAAGCAAGCCAGGACAACACAAAGUUUGGCUCUUUGCCAAUGAGUUUUGCAGACAGAAGCCGCUUCUACUUUGGGUCAAGUUGCAUCUUCAAGCUUCAGUUGGAAAAGUCCUCCCAUCAGAUGCUUCUGUCAGUGACUGUCUUGGCAUUCGAGCCGGAAAAUCCGAGCACCAACCUUCUUAAGGACCUCUUGGAGUUCAUCAGGAGCAUUACCGCCCGAGACUACCCCCAGCUGUCCUUUAUAUUCGGUCCUCGCUGUCCUUACUGCGGGCCUGAACUCGAUUUUGGCACCUCGAACGAAGACAUCUUUGGAGGCAAAUGUGGAAACAGUACUUUGGAUGGGGCAAAAAUCCACGUCCUAAAGAUGGCUGGGCACGAUCUGCCUUUCCCAACUGUGUCACCGGUACCUCUAUUCUGCGGACAACACAGAUACGAAUUGAGGCUACCUGAGUGUAAACCAAGUGAUGCAAGCCAUGGUCGCACCACUCGUCCCCGACGGGUGUCAUUUGGCCCAGGGACCGUCAUCACCAAACUACCACCCGACAUCUUUGAAAGGGUGUGCUUACUUCUGAACAACGCAGCAAUGAUCAGAAACUGGAAAACUCUGGCAGGCGAGUUGGGUAAAGACGUGGAAUCUGUAGUGGCAUUGGACAGCGAGAAGGUCAGCAAUCCAACUGAGUGUCUGCUGCGAGAGUGGGCUGCGAUUGGUGGUGAAGUGACGGUGGGCGACUUGCUAGAAGUACUUGGUAGACCAUCGCUUGAGCGGAUGGAUAUCAUACACGAAAUACGCACCCAAAUGACAUCAGAAUAAGGAUGGCACGUGGAGCUGCUUCUGAGAUGCUUUCUCACCAGACAGACACAGUUGCCAACUUCAACAAUUUGUGCAGUUUACUAGCACAUUUAAGCUUAUCAGUGUAUUUUAGAUUUUAAGCUGUUUAAAUACACAGAUAUCACAUUUUUCCUAUUAGGUCAACUCCCUGAAAAGGCCAUCUGUUAUUUGCCAUGUUAGUGCAUAAUACGGUAAAACGUACUAAUUAACACGGUGAUCGGGAUAAUGACAUUACAGAGGUAACAGCAACGUUUUUAAAGAUGGUAAGGAAAACUGAUUACUACUCAUAAACAUUUGGCCAAAAGUGGCCGUUUUUCUGAAAUUUUGAAGCAAUUGGUAUCGACAAAAUACAGUGUAGAAUUUACUAAUGAGCGUUAAAUCGUGAUCUCUCCUUUACUAAUAAUCCUCGUUUUGCUUGUGUCUGAAGAAUAAAUUAUAUAAUUCUGAUAUAUCUGUCAUCGGCAAGGUGAGAAACAAUUGAACACAUCCAUUUUUUACUGCUGGAUCCACUUGAGUAGUUUAAGUCAGUGCUUUCCCCCUAAAUCUCCUUUUGACUCCAUAUUGACUCUUACCUUUAGUCUCAACUUAGGCCGAUUGUGUAAUUCGACCUCCAGAAUCAGAAGCCAUUACUGCAGGGGCACAAUGCUCUUGCGUUACAUGCCUCUUGGUCCAACAGGGUGUCGUGAUUUGCCAAAUGCACGUGCGCAUCAAGCUGAAGAAUGUGCGUGUGAGUGCGCUACCAUCAUUGAUCUCCAUUAUAGACUAAAUAGGACAUCGAGCAUUGUUUGCGCACAAAAUGCGCGGCCGAACAAUGGCGGCGCUUCAGGAGGGUAAUGUGAUGCUGUAUGCUGUGCA